Molecule: ribosomal RNA, 253 nt
Filed under: uncultured bacterium
Lineage: Bacteria
Description: partial 16S ribosomal RNA
Rfam family: Bacterial small subunit ribosomal RNA
Source: RNAcentral
UACGGAGGGUGCAAGCGUUAUCCGGAUUCACUGGGUUUAAAGGGUGCGUAGGUGGGUCUGUAAGUCAGUGGUGAAAUCUCCGAGCUUAACUUGGAAACUGCCAUUGAUACUAUAGAUCUUGGAUAUUGUGGAGGUCAGCGGAAUAUGUCAUGUAGCGGUGAAAUGCUUAGAUAUGACAUAGAACACCAAUUGCGAAGGCAGCUGGCUACACAUAUAUUGACACUGAGGCACGAAAGCGUGGGGAUCAAACAGG